AGAUGUGCAGGCAAUUUGGCUGUGACAUCCAUCACCCAUCCUAUUGACAACCAGGGUUGAUUCUGCUGAGCUGACUGGCUAGGUAGGUGUCCCCUUCCUCCCUCACUCGUCCAUGUGCGUCUCUCCUGAAGCUGUGUGCUUGGUCAAAGAGAGCGAUCUCCAAAUACAGGAGGACCAGUCUUCUAGCAAGGGUGUUCAAGCAGCUGCUAGCUGCGCUCCCCUGCUAGAACCUCCUAACAAGCUCUCAAGAAUCAGUACUCCAGGGCUGGAGAGAUGGCUUAGUGGUUAAGUGCUU
This 295-nucleotide small nuclear RNA is filed under the name Jaculus jaculus (lesser Egyptian jerboa). Its description in RNAcentral is "7SK RNA (ENSJJAG00000008983.1)". It matches the Rfam family "7SK RNA", at positions 1 to 277 of the family's 331-position model. Rfam says of the family: 7SK was discovered as an abundant small nuclear RNA in the mid-70s but a possible function has only recently been suggested. Two independent studies have found that 7SK RNA binds the CDK9/cyclin T complex (known as elongation factor P-TEFb). The record is from Rfam by way of RNAcentral. Lineage: Eukaryota; Metazoa; Chordata; Mammalia; Rodentia; Dipodidae.